Long non-coding RNA from Chiroxiphia lanceolata (lance-tailed manakin), 230 nucleotides. RefSeq lists it as uncharacterized. The transcript has 3 exons. Lineage: Eukaryota; Metazoa; Chordata; Aves; Passeriformes; Pipridae. The record is from RefSeq and is a predicted model, not a curated record.
CCAACAGAAAGAGAGCCUUUGAAUAGGAGAGGCCUAAAUGAGUGGGAAAAAAUGGAAAAGGGUUCUUUCCGUCACUGAUCCUAUUUCCAGAUCUAGAUAUUGUGCAGUGGAGCAGAAAAUCCUCUCCCUUUGGUGUUGAGUUUGAAAACUCACAGACUCAGAGCCUACAUGGAAAUGGACAAAGGACUGGCUUGGAAAAUGCAGGAAAGAAGUUGGGGACAUAUAUGCAA